This 232-nucleotide ribosomal RNA is filed under the name uncultured bacterium. RNAcentral's name for it is "partial 16S ribosomal RNA". It matches the Rfam family "Bacterial small subunit ribosomal RNA", at positions 29 to 250 of the family's 1533-position model. The record is from RNAcentral.
AACGAACGCUGGCGGCGCGCUUAACACAUGCAAGUCGAACGAGAAGCUGUAGCAAUACAGUUGUAAAGUGGCAAACGGGUGAGUAAUGCGUGGGUAAUCUACCCUAGGGUGGGGAAUAACUCCUCGAAAGGGGAGCUAAUGCCGACAUGUGCGCCACUCUCGCAAGGGAGUGAUGGAAAGCCGUACCGUGGGUGCGGCGCCCAAGGAUGAGCUCACGUCCUANCAGCUUGUU